This is a long non-coding RNA of Macadamia integrifolia, 811 nucleotides long. RefSeq lists it as uncharacterized. The record is from RefSeq and is a predicted model, not a curated record. The transcript has 2 exons. Lineage: Eukaryota; Viridiplantae; Streptophyta; Magnoliopsida; Proteales; Proteaceae.
CAUGAACCCUUAUUCUCAUCUUCUUCCUUGAGAAACCUUUAACCGAUUGGGAGAAUUAGGGUUUUUGAACUUACGAUUUAUAGUUCUGAAAUCUGAAAUCAGAGAGAGUUAGGGUUUUGGCGAUCGAUUCCGCGUGGCCAUUAUUGAAGUCUUGAAGAUCGACCCUUAUUCUCAUCUUCUUCCUUGAGAAACCAUUAACCGAUUGGGAGAGUUAGGGGUUUUGAACUUGCGAUUUAUGGUUCUGAAAUCUAAAAUCGGAAGGAGUUAGGGUUUUCAUGAUCGAUUCUGCGUCGCCAUUGUUGAAGUCUUGAAGAUUGAUAACUCCCAUCUCUGAAAUCGCGUUUAGGUUCCAGAUUUCCACCUCUCUAUUCUAGAUUUCCGCCACUCUAUUCUGCGAUUGGGUUGAAGUCCUGAAGAUCGAUUACUCCAAGGCUAAGAAAUGAGCAGCUUGGAAGUCAAUCUGAUAUAAGCAAUUCUCAAAGAAUGACCAGAUCAGCAACUUCUACAAUGACCAUUGAGUUGAGUAUGCAAUCCAAGGUUAAUGCACAACUACAAGCUAAGGAAGCCAAAAUGAAAGCAAGGGAACAGAGGAAGAAGACAGCUAUUGGGGGAGUGGAAUGCAAUAGAGAUAGAAUGUAAUGAAGAUUUAAUUAGAUUAGAUGGUCAAUAGUGAAUGUUUGUAAUGUUAAUGAAAACUUUUUCUUGGUUGAUGGGUUUGAUGUUUAAGACAAUACUUGUACUACUCUUUUUGGGUUUGAUGUUCUUAUGGAUGUGUAAACCUUGUUUGACUUUUUAGUGAAAUGUUUAUAGA